AAAACAAUAACGGACACAUUUUGAUAGGUGCCUAUCAAAAUGCUGGAGAUUAAAAAUACUUUAUACACAGAGCUGGCAGCCUUGUACAUUGGUAUCUUUUGGGGAAUGAGUCAAAAGAUUUGUCAUUUUGUUUAUCAUUGAAAUAGCAAUUCUAGCAACUGAUCUUUAAGAAACAGUCACAAAUGUUUCCAAAAUACAGAUUUGAUCCAAAUAAUUUUUUCCAAUAAAAAAAUGUUUCCCCAAAUUGGGAAUUGGUUAAGUAAAUUACAAAAUAGCCGUAAAAACCCUUUAUACACGAAUUUUCAGAACAAUAUCUGAUGUGAACAAUAUACCGUAUAUCUUGUCUAGUAAAAAAGCAGUACAUCGCACAGUCAUUUCUUUUUGGGUCAAAAAGAAAAUGUACAGGGGGGAAAAAGAGGAAAGAUGUACACAUCAAGUGUGAUUGGUGGUUACCUUUAAGUCUGGUCUCUCUAUGUUUAAUACAUUUUCUUCAAUUAGCAUAUAUGCUGUGGGAAAAUAUUUCAAUUGUGUUUUUACAAAGUUGGCAACCAGCGUGAGCAGAUAAAAUGAGCCGCACUCUUUGUAUGGCCUGUCACCCCUCCACAAAGGGGUGAUAUUAUUUUGCUGACAUCCCUGAAGACCACUCAAUCUCAUGUUGCAAAUCUGGCCACGAUGGGGACCAAGCCCAGGCAAGGAGAGAACUGCAAACAUUUCAAGGGCGAACAUUUUCUUGGCUUCCAGGCUCAGAGGAAGGAGGCAAUGUCUUCCGUGCAGAGGGACAGGAGAGCUCAGGAAUGCAAAUGCUACAGUAAUAUUUUGCCCACAGAUUCAGAGAGAAAAAUCCAGCCCAGGCAAGACGCUCCCUUGUGGGCACGGAGAUGUGACAUUGCAUCAUUGCACGUUGCACGGUGGCAGUGGCCUUGCUGUUCUCUCCUGGACAGAGGAGCAACCAGAAUGGCAACUGAGAUUA
Molecule: long non-coding RNA, 970 nt
Filed under: Vulpes vulpes (red fox)
Lineage: Eukaryota; Metazoa; Chordata; Mammalia; Carnivora; Canidae
Description: lncRNA (ENSVVUG00000012725.1)
Source: RNAcentral